GAAAUAUAGGAAAACAGUUUGCAAAGAUUCUUAUACAUGCUCCGUACCAACCUCCAAAGCCAAUAACCAAAAAGCAAGUGUUUAUUUUCAAUGCAAAGGUGGCAAUGCAAUACCAAGUGACGAUAUAACUAGGAAAUAUCAUGACGGUUUUAAAUUUGCUGUAAUUGCUGGAGGAGUAGUAGGAGUGGUUCUCAUCAUAUUUUUUAUUGUUGGAGUUGUUCUAUUAAGAAGACGUUAUCAAUCACGUACUACACAGACGCCGAGUAAGAAAAACAUAAUGACAAAAUCAAAGCCGCCAUAUGAUCCUACUGAAGGGCAAUCAGAACUAGAACAUAGUCCUCAAGCUCUUUUGAUGAAUUCUUCUAACAACAUACAUCUGCCAACAUUACAUGCAGUUAAUGUGGCCAAUACGACAAAUGAAGAGUCAAACUCGUACUCACAUAUUCGGAACACUGGGGAUGAUUCUGACGUCAUGUAUGAUCAUACAGUACACCAUAAUGUCCAUAACACAUGUGAUGGUGAUUACGGCAUCACAUUUAGGAGAAUUACAGAGGAUGACUACGAUGUGUCUGGGAACUAUCGUCAGUCACUGACAAACAGAGAAGACCUUGUUUACAACUAAAUGUUAAGAGGUCCAACGAUUUUUUUAAUGAUCUUUGACUGAAAUGACUUAUUUAGAUCAAGUACACAGUAUUUGACCGGCUUAUACUGGUUUGUUUAUUGUGUAUGUAAAUUUUUAGAGUAUACUGAAAGCAAAAUCUUAAACAUAAUUUUAAAAUUGGCGAAAUUUUGCAAUUCAGGAGUAUGAAACCAAAGUAGUAUUUCCAUAUAUUAUUUCUAUGUUCAUUAUUUUUUUUUUAACUGCACGAAGAAACCGCGCCUCUAUAAUUUAGAUGUUUAUUGAAAGAAUGGCCGGAUGGAUCUAUCAAAUGAUAAGAAUGGUAUGCGUUGCUCUUCUGCAUAGCUUCAAACAUCUAGAGAUGCUAGGUUUGGCGCCGGCAUACUGUGACAAGAUGUCGUGAAAUGUCGUUCUUUGAAUUGUUUAAUUGAAUUAACGUGUUACUUUUGUGCAAAGAAGGUUUGGUUUUUAUAUGUUUAUAACAUGUAAUUGUCCUGAACAUAUUCAACCUUCUCAGCAUCUUAUUCUCAAGUCUAAAGUUUAUAUAUCUGAUAAUAAAAGUUAAGAAGUGUCUCGUACAAAAACAAAGUAAGACGGUAUUUCUAAUCUUAACUUCUAUGUUAUAUCGUACAUAACUAAAGCUUUGAUAUUCAAACUCGGGUCAGAAAGGGCAUCCAUGGCAAUAAAUGUAUUAAUUUCUUUAUUCAAAAUUGUUAUUUCUGACGAUGGUCUGGCUUUUUUGAAUACAGAGUGGCUAACUAUAAAUACUGUCGAUUUCAAUAGGACGUGUGAGCAAACUGCAAGAAAUCUGUUAACAGUUUUGUUCCUAUAUUGUUUUAAGC
Long non-coding RNA from Mytilus californianus (California mussel), 1461 nucleotides. RefSeq lists it as uncharacterized. The transcript is spliced from 4 exons. NCBI's taxonomy places the organism in Eukaryota, Metazoa, Mollusca, Bivalvia, Mytilida, Mytilidae. The record is from RefSeq and is a predicted model, not a curated record.